UUGAGCCGUAUGAGAUGAAAGUUUCACGUACGGUUCUUAGAAGAGGGAGGACGGGCAACCGUUCUUCUUUAUUCGGC
RNAcentral lists this non-coding RNA (77 nucleotides) under uncultured archaeon. The record is from RNAcentral.